GUAUAGCAAUAGCUACUUGCAUCAUUGUAAAUAUGAUGCAAGAUCGACUAUGUCGAAUAAAAUUCUAGGUAGAAUUAUGAUAAUGACAUUGUCUGCCUAUGUGUCUUGACCAAAUUACGUGCCAGCAGUCGCGGUAAUACGUAGAAGACUAGUGUUAUUCAUGUUUAAUCGGUUUAAAGGGUACCUAGACGGUAAAUCAAGCCUAAAAGGAAAUAAAUGAAGGGACUAAUUUACUAGAGUUACUUCUGAGGGGGUAUUAAAGUACUGCUGGUGUAGAGAUGAAAUUCUGUCAUACCUCUUUUCAAUAGAAAAAUAAUGGCACAGGUAUAGGCGAAAGCAUCCCCUUAUGUGAUAACUGACGUUGAGGGACGAAGGCUUUGUGUAGCGAACAGGAUUAGAUACCCCAGUAGUCAAAGCAGAAAAUGAUGAAUGUCAUAGAUUAGAUAUAUAAGUUUAUUCUAUAAAUGAAAGUGUAAGCAUUCCACCUCAAGAGUAAUUUGGCAACAUUGGAACUGAAAUCAUUAGACCGUUUCUGAAACCAGUAGUGAAGUAUGUUGUUUAAUUUGAUGAUCCGCAAAAAACCUUACCACAAUUUGAAUAUUUAUAUCUUUUAUUGUUUUUCUUUUUAACUUUCUUCUGAUUUUCUACUUAAAAGAAAACAAUAACAAGAAAAAAGAGGCAAUAAGAUAUAUUUACAAGCGUUGCACGGCUGUCUUCAGUUAAUGUCGCGAGACUCUGGUUAGUUCCAUUAAAUUAACGUAAACCCUUACUUUAUUUUUAUAUAGAGUAGUUCCCCGCUAUAUUGGAUAUGAUAACAGGGACUAAGACAAGUCAUCAUGGCCUAAAUAUUGUGGGCUAUAGA
RNAcentral lists this ribosomal RNA (862 nucleotides) under Nephromopsis nivalis. Its description in RNAcentral is "SSU rRNA". It matches the Rfam family "Bacterial small subunit ribosomal RNA", at positions 367 to 1220 of the family's 1533-position model. Lineage: Eukaryota; Fungi; Ascomycota; Lecanoromycetes; Lecanorales; Parmeliaceae. The record is from RNAcentral.